GCCAGGUGUGGUGGCGCGUGCCUGCAGUCUCAGCUACUUUGGAGGCUGAGCCCAGGAGUUCUGGGCUGUGGUGCGCUAUGCCAAUCAGGUGUCCGCACUAAGUUCAGCAUCAAUAUGGUGACCUCCCAGGAGCAGGGGACCACCAGCUUGCCUAAGGAGAGGUGAACUGGCCCAGGUCAGAAAUGGAGCAGGUCAAAACUCCUCUGCUGAUCAGUAGGGGGAUCUCGCCUGUGAAUAGCCACUGCACUCCAGCCUGGGCAACUU
This is an unclassified non-coding RNA of Callithrix jacchus (white-tufted-ear marmoset), 264 nucleotides long. It matches the Rfam family "Metazoan signal recognition particle RNA". From Rfam's summary of the family: The signal recognition particle (SRP) is a universally conserved ribonucleoprotein. Lineage: Eukaryota; Metazoa; Chordata; Mammalia; Primates; Cebidae. The record is from Ensembl.